Macadamia integrifolia is the source of this 1043-nucleotide long non-coding RNA. RefSeq lists it as uncharacterized. The record is from RefSeq and is a predicted model, not a curated record. The transcript has 2 exons. NCBI's taxonomy places the organism in Eukaryota, Viridiplantae, Streptophyta, Magnoliopsida, Proteales, Proteaceae.
UAAUCACCACUAAUGACUCUUUAGAUCCCUUUCUCCACCACGUCAUUAGUCCAAAAUCCGUUUGAAUUACCAAUACACAGUUCUAUUAUUAUUAAAACAGCCAUUCUCAAAUAUUUGACCCUUUGGAUGCCUUCUGUGUGAGGCAUUUCUCUCUCCACUUAUCUAGGAUUUCGGCUCUCUCUGGAUAUUCGGCUCUGCUUGUCCCUGCGCGUUAGGGUUGUUUCUUCCUCAAACUAUGUGAGGUUUUCCUCCCGUGGGGGGAUUGUUUCUCUUAUCCUGGACCCGGAUCUUCAUGUCGUGCUCUUUGACUUGACUGCGGCUGCUAGAAAUCUAUUUCGAUCAUGGACUGGGAAGUCAUAGCAGAAGAGUAUCGUUUGAUUGAUGAGGCCGAUCUCUCAGAUCGGCUGCUAGAUCCUCCGAAGGAGAGAUCUAUGAAAAUGAUUUGAAUGGUGGUCCGGUGGACUGGAAUAUGGUUCUUGUGGGGUGAAUCUUUACUAGUAAGAGGAUCUCGACACCAUCUUGGAAGCACUCUCAAGUGCAUGGUGCCUAUGAAGAGAUCUAAUUGUCCAACAGAUUGCAGUGAAGAUUGCGGUUUUUCGCUGUGUCCGCCUUCCAUCAGGAUUGCAAGAUUUUGGAUGAUCCUUUGCAAUACGUGUAGGGAUUAGAACUAAUAUUCCUUUAACAGUGGGGAUGAAGAUAAACCGUGUUGAUCAAAACCCCUAUUGGGUAGAGUUUGUCUAUGUGAAAUUGUCGGCGUUCUAUUUUUACUGUGGCCUCCUAGGGCAUGAUUAGUGUCAAUGCCUCAUCAAGGGGCUGAGGAAAGUGGAAAUAGGCUUCACCUUUUCCAAUUGCUAGAUCUUGAAGAAUAGAUUUUGUUGGUGUAUAAUGUCUUGUAUUCUGUCACAGUUUAAUCUAAGGAGUACUGGUGUAACGUCUCGACAUGUAGAACGACGAUCUCAUUAAUCGGUUAGUGGGCCGUGGGGGUUGCAAAGGGGGCAAGAGGCCUCAUACAUAAUAGAGUUUGAAUUUUUUAUUUGAGGUCA